RNAcentral lists this ribosomal RNA (477 nucleotides) under Triticum aestivum (bread wheat). RNAcentral describes it as "partial small subunit ribosomal RNA". The record is from RNAcentral. Lineage: Eukaryota; Viridiplantae; Streptophyta; Magnoliopsida; Poales; Poaceae.
AUGGGACGAACUACCCCUAACCCUAUAUGGUGUAAGAUAUGGAAGUUAGCUUGCCCGGCAAAAGUCAAAAAAAUUAUAUGGCGUACUUUACAUGGCACCCUCCCAUGUCAAGUAACACUUGCUAAUAGACACAUGAAGGUCUCGCCCAUAUGCCCUACCUGCUCUCAGGGUCUAGAAGAUACGAAACAUAUGUUGUUCCUAUGUAUAAAAGCAAGGGAGGUUUGGAAGAGGCUUGGGAUGGACGAGAUUAUUAACAAAGCCUGCAAGGUUGAUCGUGCUAGAGAGGCGAUAUUGGGAUAUCUUUUACUUCUCCCAGAUCAAGAGUUGAGUAUCAUGGGUUCCCAAAAUGUACGAGAAAUGAUAGCUAUAUCAGCUUGGUAUCUAUGGUGGGAAAGACGGAAAUUGGUUCAUAGGGAAGUAACUCAUAAUGCAACUCAGAUAUCAAUGGGAAUCAUGGCCCUUACAUCAAAUUUGUGA